Molecule: long non-coding RNA, 107 nt
Organism: Nematolebias whitei (Rio pearlfish)
Lineage: Eukaryota; Metazoa; Chordata; Actinopteri; Cyprinodontiformes; Rivulidae
Exons: 2
Source: RefSeq, a predicted model, not a curated record
UUGGGCGGUUGGCAUAAAACUGGUUUGUGACUGGACUGCUAUGACGUCUCAAGUCGGUGGCGGUAAUGCUUCCUUCAGUUGUUUGCCAACCGCCAAUAAAACAAGAA